This 72-nucleotide transfer RNA is filed under the name Ovis aries (sheep). It matches the Rfam family "tRNA". From Rfam's summary of the family: Transfer RNA (tRNA) molecules are approximately 80 nucleotides in length. Lineage: Eukaryota; Metazoa; Chordata; Mammalia; Artiodactyla; Bovidae. The record is from Rfam by way of RNAcentral.
UCCCUGGUGGCUCAGACGGUAAAGCGUCUGCCUGCAAUGCGGGAGACCCGGGUUCGAUUCCUGGGUUGGGAG